AUAUACAUGUUGAGAAAGAAGAGUAAUUUUAAAUUCAUUUAAAGAGAGAUGAUGGUAGGUGAAAAUCAUUAAUAAUUUAAAAUGAAUGGAGCUUUUGAGUGUAAUGUUUUGAAAGUUGGGCUUUAGCCAAGAAGGGUGGAACCGCGGAAUAAUAAUUUCGUCCCUUUA
Molecule: non-coding RNA, 168 nt
Filed under: Clostridium neonatale
Lineage: Bacteria; Bacillati; Bacillota; Clostridia; Eubacteriales; Clostridiaceae
Description: T-box
Rfam family: T-box leader
About the family: Uncharged tRNA acts as the effector for transcription antitermination of genes in the T-box leader family. T-boxes are found upstream of many aminoacyl-tRNA synthetase genes and some amino acid biosynthetic genes usually in Gram-positive bacteria.
Source: RNAcentral